GGAAAGAAGUUUCCAUAGAAGUCACAACUGGACUUGAGCUAAUCGAAUCUAUCAUAUGACUGAUGAUGAGAUUUGACGAUUUAUCCAUGACCUGCCAUCAAAUCGAGACUGACGAUAGAGAGAAUGAAUCAUACGUUAACUACACCUAGAGAUUCAUUUCAGUUCUAUUGGGUUGCCACUACAUACUGCUAGAUAUCAC
RNAcentral lists this long non-coding RNA (199 nucleotides) under Elaeis guineensis (African oil palm). RNAcentral describes it as "long non-coding RNA (EGUI_LNC057510)". Lineage: Eukaryota; Viridiplantae; Streptophyta; Magnoliopsida; Arecales; Arecaceae. The record is from RNAcentral.